RNAcentral lists this ribosomal RNA (301 nucleotides) under uncultured bacterium. RNAcentral's name for it is "partial 16S ribosomal RNA". It matches the Rfam family "Bacterial small subunit ribosomal RNA", at positions 509 to 808 of the family's 1533-position model. The record is from RNAcentral.
CAGUCGCCGCGGGAAUACGUAGGUCCCGAGCGUUGUCCGGAUUUAUUGGGCGUAAAGCGAGCGCAGGCGGUUAGAUAAGUCUGAAGUUAAAGGCUGUGGCUUAACCAUAGUACGCUUUGGAAACUGUUUAACUUGAGUGCAAGAGGGGAGAGUGGAAUUCCAUGUGUAGCGGUGAAAUGCGUAGAUAUAUGGAGGAACACCAGUGGCGAAGGCGACUCUCUGGUCUGUAACUGACGCUGAGGAGCGGAAGCGUGGGGAGCGAACAGGAUUAGAUACCCGAGUAGUCCCUGUCUCUUAUACA